RNAcentral lists this non-coding RNA (24 nucleotides) under Arabidopsis thaliana (thale cress). Lineage: Eukaryota; Viridiplantae; Streptophyta; Magnoliopsida; Brassicales; Brassicaceae. The record is from RNAcentral.
UGAUCAACUAACCUUGCCAAUGUG